RNAcentral lists this long non-coding RNA (245 nucleotides) under Brassica rapa (field mustard). Its description in RNAcentral is "long non-coding RNA (BRAP_LNC006060)". Lineage: Eukaryota; Viridiplantae; Streptophyta; Magnoliopsida; Brassicales; Brassicaceae. The record is from RNAcentral.
UUUAUGCAUUUAGUGGUAAGUUUUUCGGAUAUAAUUUUAUAUUAAUAUUAUUAAUUCAUAAUUUUUCUUAAAAUGUUAAAGUGAUCUUUAAUGUUCUUAAAACAAAGUAUGUAUUUUUUUUAUUAAGUUUUUGUGACAAUAAGUUGAAUAUAUCUUAGACCACAAAUCAUAAAUAUUCUCAGUCUUAUAUAUUUUGUUCUUCAAGUUAUUGUUACUUUUAUUUCCUUUUAUACAUUUCUCUUAAU